RNAcentral lists this non-coding RNA (26 nucleotides) under Rattus norvegicus (Norway rat). Lineage: Eukaryota; Metazoa; Chordata; Mammalia; Rodentia; Muridae. The record is from RNAcentral.
AUAAAUGGGACUAGAGAUAUAAAGUA